GAGAAGUCCACUGAACCUUAUCAUUUAGAGGAAGGAGAAGUCGUAACAAGGUUUCCGUAGGUGAACCUGCGGAAGGAUCAUUGUCGAAACCUGCCCGGCAGAAAGACCCGCGAAC
RNAcentral lists this ribosomal RNA (115 nucleotides) under Ficus verruculosa. RNAcentral's name for it is "partial 18S ribosomal RNA". The stretch from base 1 to 83 matches the Rfam family "Eukaryotic small subunit ribosomal RNA", at positions 1749 to 1831 of the family's 1831-position model. Lineage: Eukaryota; Viridiplantae; Streptophyta; Magnoliopsida; Rosales; Moraceae. The record is from RNAcentral.